RNAcentral lists this long non-coding RNA (210 nucleotides) under Vigna radiata. RNAcentral's name for it is "long non-coding RNA (VRAD_LNC007254)". Lineage: Eukaryota; Viridiplantae; Streptophyta; Magnoliopsida; Fabales; Fabaceae. The record is from RNAcentral.
AGAAAAAAUAAAUUUACUUUUAAUUAUAAAUCAAAUUUAUAACAAAUUAUAAGAUUUAUUCAAACAUUUUUUGGUGAUAAGCAAAAUACUAUUAAUAAUAGUAGAUUUUUUAAAAUAAUUUUUUAGCUUAUUUUUCACUCUUUUCACUUACACUAUUUAUUUCUACCUGAGUACUAAUUAUAUAGAAAGAAAAAAAGUAGUUUAUUUCCA